RNAcentral lists this ribosomal RNA (497 nucleotides) under uncultured bacterium. RNAcentral describes it as "partial 16S ribosomal RNA". It matches the Rfam family "Bacterial small subunit ribosomal RNA", at positions 28 to 507 of the family's 1533-position model. The record is from RNAcentral.
GAUGAACGCUGGCGGCGUGCCUAAUACAUGCAAGUCGAGCGAACGGACGAGAAGCUUGCUUCUCUGAUGUUAGCGGCGGACGGGUGAGUAACACGUGGAUAACCUACCUAUAAGACUGGGAUAACUUCGGGAAACCGGAGCUAAUACCGGAUAAUAUUUUGAACCGCAUGGUUCAAAAGUAAAAGACGGUCUUGCUGUCACUUAUAGAUGGAUCCGCGCUGCAUUAGCUAGUUGGUAAGGUAACGGCUUACCAAGGCAACGAUGCAUAGCCGACCUGAGAGGGUGAUAGGCCACACUAGAACUGAGACACGGUCCAGACUCCUACGGGAGGCAGCAGUAGGGAAUCUUCCGCAAUGGGCGAAAGCCUGACGGAGCAACGCCGCGUGAGUGAUGAAGGUCUUCGGAUCGUAAAACUCUGUUAUUAGGGAAGAACAUAUGUGUAAGUAACUGUGCACAUCUUGACGGUACCUAAUCAGAAAGCCACGGCUAACUACGUG